GCCUAGAUAGCUCAGCUGGCUAGAGAGUGGUGCUGAUAAUGCCAAGGUUGCAGGUUUGAUCCCUGCGUGGGACA
Podarcis lilfordi (Lilford's wall lizard) is the source of this 74-nucleotide non-coding RNA. The record is from the annotation of a GenBank genome assembly. NCBI's taxonomy places the organism in Eukaryota, Metazoa, Chordata, Lepidosauria, Squamata, Lacertidae.